This 458-nucleotide ribosomal RNA is filed under the name uncultured eukaryote. RNAcentral's name for it is "bacterial SSU rRNA". It matches the Rfam family "Eukaryotic small subunit ribosomal RNA", at positions 198 to 635 of the family's 1831-position model. The record is from RNAcentral.
ACGGCGUUCUCGCCGGAUGUAGGAACCGACCCGGGGACCGCCGGGGCAACCCGGCGCCCCCGAGACGGGGCGAACCACGGUGAAAUGACGGAUCGUCGGCCCCGCGCCGGCGACUCGCCGAAUGAGUUUCUGACCUAUCAACUCGAGACGGCGGGGUAGAGGCCCGCCGCGGUAACGACGGGUAACGGGGAAUCAGGGUUCGAUUCCGGAGAGGGAGCCCGAGAAACGGCUACCACUUCCAAGGAAGGCAGCAGGCGCGCAACUUACCCUAAUCUCGAUUCGAGGAGGUAGUGACAAGAAAUACCGAUGCGGGACCCUACGGGUGCCGCGUUCGGAAUGAGUACGAUUCGAACCACCUAACGAGGAACGAUCGGAGGGCAAGUCUGGUGCCAGCAGCCGCGGUAAUUCCAGCUCCAAUAGCGUACGUUAAAGUUGCUGCAGUUAAAAAGCUCGUAGUU